GCUCCAGUGGCGUAACGGGUCAGCACGGUACUUAUAAGACAGUAACCUGCAGAGUGAUGCCGAGGUUGUGAGUUCGAUCCUCACCUGGAGCA
RNAcentral lists this transfer RNA (92 nucleotides) under Perca fluviatilis (European perch). RNAcentral describes it as "tRNA-Ile". It matches the Rfam family "tRNA". From Rfam's summary of the family: Transfer RNA (tRNA) molecules are approximately 80 nucleotides in length. The record is from RNAcentral. Lineage: Eukaryota; Metazoa; Chordata; Actinopteri; Perciformes; Percidae.